Molecule: ribosomal RNA, 58 nt
Filed under: Cordyceps militaris
Lineage: Eukaryota; Fungi; Ascomycota; Sordariomycetes; Hypocreales; Cordycipitaceae
Description: partial 18S ribosomal RNA
Rfam family: Eukaryotic small subunit ribosomal RNA
Source: RNAcentral
CAACUUCAAGAAAAGUCGUAACAAGGUCUCCGUUGGUGAACCAGCGGAGGGAUCAUUA